GCCUAUGUCCAUGCUACCCUGAACAAGCCUAAUCCCGUCUGAUCUCGGAAGCUAAGCAGGAUCGGGCCUGGGUAGUACUUAGAUAGGAAACCACCUAGGAAGACCAGGUGCUAUAGGCA
This is a ribosomal RNA of Pteropus vampyrus (large flying fox), 119 nucleotides long. NCBI's taxonomy places the organism in Eukaryota, Metazoa, Chordata, Mammalia, Chiroptera, Pteropodidae. The record is from Ensembl.